RNAcentral lists this ribosomal RNA (441 nucleotides) under uncultured bacterium. RNAcentral's name for it is "partial 16S ribosomal RNA". It matches the Rfam family "Bacterial small subunit ribosomal RNA", at positions 338 to 795 of the family's 1533-position model. The record is from RNAcentral.
CCUACGGGAGGCAGCAGUGGGGAAUAUUGCACAAUGGGGGAAACCCUGAUGCAGCGACGCCGCGUGAGUGAAGAAGUAUUUCGGUAUGUAAAGCUCUAUCAGCAGGAACGAGACAAGACGGUACCUGACUAAGAAGCCCCGGCUAACUACGUGCCAGCAGCCGCGGUAAUACGUAGGGGGCAAGCGUUAUCCGGAAUCACUGGGUGGAAAGGGAGCGUAGACGGCUGAGCAAGCCUGAAGGGAAAGGCGGGGGCCCAACCCCCGGACUGCUUUGGGAACUGUACGGCUGGAGUGCAGGAGAGGUAAGUGGAAUUCCUAGUGUAGCGGUGAAAUGCGUAGAUAUUAGGAGGAACACCAGUGGCGAAGGCGGCUUACUGGACUGUAACUGACGUUGAGGCUCGAAAGCGUGGGGAGCAAACAGGAUUAGAUACCCCAGUAGUC